GCAUGAAGUCGGAAUUGCUAGUAAUCGCAGAUCAGCAUGCUGUGGUGAAUACGUUCCCGGGCCUUGUACACACCGCCCGUCACACCAUGGGAGUCGGUAACACCCAAAGUUGGUAGUCUAACCGCAAGGAGGACGCCGCCUAAGGUGGGAUUGAUGACUGGGGUUAAGUCGUAACAAGGUACC
RNAcentral lists this ribosomal RNA (183 nucleotides) under uncultured bacterium. Its description in RNAcentral is "partial 16S ribosomal RNA". It matches the Rfam family "Bacterial small subunit ribosomal RNA", at positions 1318 to 1500 of the family's 1533-position model. The record is from RNAcentral.